ACCUUCUUUUGUUUCUCAUUGUUUAUUUUGUAAAUCUCCUCACAUUCUUUUUGAAAGAAGGAAUGAAGAAGGAUGGGAAGUGGGGAGAGAUGGAUGCCAACCACCCAGUGAACAGAAGUCACCGUGGCAGCAGGACUGGCAGUGGAAAUCAGUUACCUUGUUGUCCUGAAUUCCUGUAUCGAGGCAAACUAUUCUACUCCUGUUUCCCUCGGACUUCUACAUGCCCAUGCUACACAUAUCCUGUGGCCUCCAGAGCGCUGGCAGAAAUUGGAAUCUGUUCUUCCUCCAGAGCGCUUGCUAGUUCAGAGAGAAGAGGAAUAAUGGCAUGAAACUCCCUCAGCUGCUGGCAUUGGCAGGCCAAAACCAUCCAUUACAGAAGGGAUGGAGAGGAGGAACCUUCAGAAGGGCAACGUUUGUUUCAAAUGAAAUGAUCUGCAUUAUUAAAGAAAAAGUGUUAAAAUAUUAUAUAGUAUUAAAUAGCAACUGAUUUUGUGUUUAAUUGUAAUACUCUAUUGCUCAAUGCCAAAAAAUACAGACCUUUGGGAAUAGGAAAACUUUAUUCCCAUGUCUUACAGGGAAAUUGUUAUGUGUACUUAGUCUCUCGAUUGUUGGGUUUUAAUUUUGGUGCUUGCUGCUGAGAGAAUAUGAAAAUUAAUAUUUGAUGAAAGUAAUUCAGUAAUGUCAUUUACUCUUUAGAACAUGAAGAAACAUACAGUGAUGGAAAUUAUAUUGUAAUUGACAGUAUGUACGAGGCAGUGACUGCUGGCUAAGAAGAACAGUAAACUGUGAUAUAAAAAUAAAACUGAUUUGCUCAGGUACUGUUUUGGGUAUUAAUCAUUUAACCUGUACCUCCCUUACUGAGGAAUAUUUUUUUUUUUUUUUGGAAGCAAGGAAUUAAAGUAAGGAGAACCAAUUCUAUCAAUAUUUCCAUACAAUUAAAGCUUUCUUAUUAGCCCUUUUAAAUAAAAACUUCUGAGUGAUCUCUUGCCUGUUCACAUCCAUGAAUAAACCUAUUCAUCAGUAUUCAGUCACUAUGUGGUAAAAUGUUCUGAGUGAAAUAAAAAAAAUAUUCCUGUUUGACCAACUUUUUUUCCUCCCAAUGAUUUUCAGUGUUUAUCUCUGUAAAUACUGAAAUCACCAAUUGCAAAGUGGGAUGAUAACGGCAUCAUAGAUCCUCUAACUGCAGAGGUAAGGCAGUAAAUCCCUUCAUACGAGUCUAUAUUCAUUCUUGCAAAUGUGGAUGCAAGUUUCCUUAGUGGUCAGGAAUGCAAAGAGUAAGGGUA
RNAcentral lists this long non-coding RNA (1283 nucleotides) under Mustela putorius furo (domestic ferret). Its description in RNAcentral is "lncRNA (ENSMPUG00000028783.1)". The record is from RNAcentral. Lineage: Eukaryota; Metazoa; Chordata; Mammalia; Carnivora; Mustelidae.